Long non-coding RNA from Capsicum annuum, 1152 nucleotides. RefSeq lists it as uncharacterized. The record is from RefSeq and is a predicted model, not a curated record. NCBI's taxonomy places the organism in Eukaryota, Viridiplantae, Streptophyta, Magnoliopsida, Solanales, Solanaceae. The transcript is spliced from 2 exons.
AAUUUUUUUUUUUCAUGAAGAAUUUUGUUAUGUGAUGUCUAAAGAGAUUCCUCUCAUUAGAAAAAAUGUGUGUUUAUUAAUAAUUAAGGAUAUCCAACCUCAUAUAUUGAGCCUCUCUUAUCCCUUUGCUGUUGUUUUGUAUAAUUACUUGAUGCUCAUAUAUAUUUAUUAAAGUGAAAUAGAUAAUUAUGUGAACUGAUAAAGUUGCUGUCAUAUGAUUCGUAAAACAGGAGAAGAGAAUCUCAAAGUAUGGGGCAAAGAAUGUUGCGUUUUGACUUUGUCUCCCGGGAUCCACCACAGGUUGGGUUCGAGAGCCGUGUGAUGGGUGACUAUCCAGUCCGUACGGUUCGGAGAGAACUUUUAGUCUGCGCAAGUCGUGGUCUGAUAUUUCACCAAGCCACUAUACAUUUUUACCCUUACAUAGGACUUGAUCUCAGAGGGGCUGCUGUUACUCUUGAGGGAGUCCAGGGAGUUGAACUUAGUGAAAUUAUGCGAAAGGAUGGAUUCAUCAAUUCCACAAGUUUUUUUUCUUCUUGAAGUGGAGAAAUUUGAGGGCAGUUAAAGCAAUGAAUUUCAUUAACAAGUGUUUAUAUUUGUAGCUUUAAUUCUCCUUCUGGUUGUAAGGCGGUGGUAAAUUGUCCCCGUUGAAGUGAAUUUAUGAAUCGUGCAAUUUAUAAACCCUAUUCAAGCAUUCCUAAAGUACCUUUUUGUUCUGUAAAAAGGAGAAUAGGAGGCAAGAAUAAGGAUUUUGGAAGAAGAUGGAGGAUAAAGAAAAGUCACGUGCCAAGAGAAAAGUUUCGUUAAUUAUAGACGGUAAUAGUGACAGAGGAAUGUCUUUGAUCAACUUUGAGAAACUUGAAGAAUGUUUUAGGUUAGUACGAUAUUAUAGGGAUGUCUUUGAUCAACUUUGAGAAACUUAAAGGAUGUUUUAGAUUAAGUACGAUAUUAUAGGGAUGUCUUUGAUCAACUUUGAGAAACUUAAAGGAUGUUUUAGAUUAAGUACGAUAUUAUAGGGAUGUAAUAAAAGUUAUGGUGAAACAUAAGGGAUGAUUUGGGUCAAAAUCUCAAAUAUCAUCCUAGCUAGUGGACCACUCAAUGACUCAAACUUGUAUGUUUCUGAUGAUAUAAAUAAGACAUGUCUUUUUGUGUAUA